RNAcentral lists this ribosomal RNA (698 nucleotides) under Psychrobacter sp. KR05-04. RNAcentral describes it as "bacterial SSU rRNA". It matches the Rfam family "Bacterial small subunit ribosomal RNA", at positions 109 to 803 of the family's 1533-position model. Lineage: Bacteria; Pseudomonadati; Pseudomonadota; Gammaproteobacteria; Moraxellales; Moraxellaceae. The record is from RNAcentral.
AGUAAUACUUAGGAAUCUACCUAGUAGUGGGGGAUAGCUCGGGGAAACUCGAAUUAAUACCGCAUACGUCCUACGGGAGAAAGCAGGGGAUCAUUAGACCUUGCGCUAUUAGAUGAGCCUAAGUCGGAUUAGCUAGAUGGUGGGGUAAAGGCCUACCAUGGCGACGAUCUGUAGCUGGUCUGAGAGGAUGAUCAGCCACACCGGGACUGAGACACGGCCCGGACUCCUACGGGAGGCAGCAGUGGGGAAUAUUGGACAAUGGGGGGAACCCUGAUCCAGCCAUGCCGCGUGUGUGAAGAAGGCCUUUUGGUUGUAAAGCACUUUAAGCAGUGAAGAAGACUCUUCGGUUAAUACCCGGGGACGAUGACAUUAGCUGCAGAAUAAGCACCGGCUAACUCUGUGCCAGCAGCCGCGGUAAUACAGAGGGUGCAAGCGUUAAUCGGAAUUACUGGGCGUAAAGCGAGCGUAGGUGGCUUGAUAAGUCAGAUGUGAAAUCCCCGGGCUUAACCUGGGAACUGCAUCUGAAACUGUUAGGCUAGAGUAGGUGAGAGGGAAGUAGAAUUUCNGGUGUAGCGGUGAAAUGCGUAGAGAUCUGAAGGAAUACCGAUGGCGAANGCAGCUUCCUGGCAUCAUACUGACACUGANGCUCGAAAGCGUGGGUAGCAAACAGGAUUANAUACCCUGGNAGUCCNCGCCGU